RNAcentral lists this ribosomal RNA (380 nucleotides) under uncultured eukaryote. Its description in RNAcentral is "partial 18S ribosomal RNA". It matches the Rfam family "Eukaryotic small subunit ribosomal RNA", at positions 592 to 976 of the family's 1831-position model. The record is from RNAcentral.
CAAUAGCGUAUAUUAAAGUUGUUGCGGUUAAAAAGCUCGUAGUUGGAUUUCUGCUGAGAACGACCGGUCCGCCCUUUGGGUGUGUAUCUGGCUCUUUCUUGGCAUCUUCUUGGUGAACGUUGCUGCACUUGACUGUGUGGAGCGCUACCCAGGACUUUUACUUUGAGGAAAUUAGAGUGUUUCAAGCAGGCAUACGCCUUGAAUACAUUAGCAUGGAAUAAUAAGAUAGGACCUCGGUUCUAUUUUGUUGGUUUCUAGAGCUGAGGUAAUGAUUAAUAGGGAUAGUUGGGGGCAUUUGUAUUUCGGUGCUAGAGGUGAAAUUCUUAGAUUACCGAAAGACAAACUGCUGCGAAAGCGUCUGCCAAGGAUGUUUUCAUUGA